CUUGCAAACUGGAGAUGGCGACCGGCGCACGGGUGAGUAACACGUAUCCAACCUGCCGAUAACUCGGGGAUAGCCUUUCGAAAGAAAGAUUAAUACCCGAUGGCAUAAUAGAACCGCAUGGUUUGAUUAUUAAAGAAUUCCGGUUAUCGAUGGGGAUGCGUUCCAUUAGGCAGUUGGUGGGGUAACGGCCCACCAAACCUUCGAUGGAUAGGGGUUCUGAGAGGAAGGUCCCCCACAUUGGAACUGAGACACGGUCCAAACUCCUACGGGAGGCAGCAUG
This 280-nucleotide ribosomal RNA is filed under the name uncultured bacterium. Its description in RNAcentral is "partial 16S ribosomal RNA". It matches the Rfam family "Bacterial small subunit ribosomal RNA", at positions 75 to 353 of the family's 1533-position model. The record is from RNAcentral.